This 1052-nucleotide long non-coding RNA is filed under the name Marmota monax (woodchuck). Lineage: Eukaryota; Metazoa; Chordata; Mammalia; Rodentia; Sciuridae. The record is from RNAcentral.
AGAAGAAAUUACGGACAAGGAGUUUAGAAUGUUUAAAUGUUCUAUGAACUCAAGGAAGAUAUAAGAGAGCAAAUACAAGAAGUCAAAGAUCACCGCGAGAUAGAGGUGCUAAAAAAAAAAACUAAACAGAACUCCUUGAAAUGGUAAACCAAAUUAAAAGCAUCACCAACAGAGUAGCCCACUUGGAAGAUACGACAUCAGACAAUGAAGAUAAAAUGUAUAAUCUUGAAAAGAAAAUCAUUAUCACUGUGUGGUAUAUAAAGAAACCAUGAGCAGAACAUUCAAGAAAUAUGGGAUAGCAUAAAAAGACCAAAUUUAAGAGUUGUUGGCAUAGAGGUCCAAACCAAAGGAAUGAACAAUCUGUUCAAUGAAAUAAUAUCAAAAAAUUUUCCAAACUACAGGACACCAAAUGUACAAAAUCACAACAGAUCCACACCAAGGCACGUUAUGAUGAAAAUACCCAACAUACAGAAUAAGGAAAGAAUUUUAAAAGCCACAAGAGAAAGGAAUCAGAUUACAUACAAUGGAAAACCAAUUAGCAUAAUGGCAGAUUUUAAUGGACUCUGAAAGACAAUGGGUGUCAACCAAGAAUCUCAUAUACAUCAAAAUUAAGCUUUAGAUUUGAAGAUGAAAUAAGAACCUUCCAUAAUAAACAAAAGUUAAGAGUUUAUAGCUAUAAAACCAACACUACAAAACAUCUUUGGAAAAAUAUUCCAUGAAGAGGAAACAAAAAAUCAGCAGGAGAAGGUAGCAUGCUAAAGGGAAAAACUAAUCAAAGAAAAGUCAAGUUAAAUAACAAACAAAUACAGCUUGGAAUACAAACCAUGUCUCAAUAGUAACCCCAAAUGUUAAUGGCUUAAACUCACCAAUCAAAAGACAUAGGCUAGCAUAUAGGAUUUUAAAAAAAGACCUAACAAUAUGCUGCCUCAUCUGAUAGGUAAAGACAUACAGACUGGAGGUAAAAGGUUGGGAAAAAUCAUAUCAUUCACAUGGACUGCGAUGGUUACACAGCCGAGUUCUACAAGACCUUUAAAGAAGAACUAAUACAAAUA